GAAAUACAAUGUAAUUCAAAUACAAUUAAAUUGAAUACAAUGCAAUUGGAAUUGCUUCCUUGCAAUUAAAAUAGAAUGCAAUUCAAAUACGAUGCAAUUGGAAUUGCUUUCUUGCAAUUGAAAUACAAUGUAAUUCAAAUACAAUGCAAUUGGAAUAUAAUAUAUAUAUUGCUUUAAUUCAAUAACACCGCGAUUCGUAAUCGUACGAUUACGUAUAAUUAAUAUUACGUAAUAUAUUAAUUACAGAAAUUACAAUUUAAUUUCCUUUCCUGCAUAUCUUUCUAACAUAUUCUAAUUUGAAACGCCCUCGUCCGACUACUAAUUGACCUUUAACAAUAAAUCCGCGUCGACGAUGAGAUGAUGAGAAUUCUCAGAAAAUCCACAACGCGAGAUCAUCUGCCUUCUAAUUAACCGUGCAACUUCGUUCGUUUAAUCUCGCAAACGGUUUGCAAACAAUUUGAGAUCGUCGAGUUAAGCGAGUCGCAAGCUCCGCGAAGAGGACAAUGCAGUGUAGAGAGAUACAGAGCUCUGGAUUUUUGUUCGAAGAAUAAGAUCGUUAUUCGAGACACAACAGUUUCGACUUCUUUGUUUUUUUUUUAAAUAACAAACACAAUCAUCCUGUACAAAAUACACGACCCUGCCAACCCCGAUUCACCUUCUUCUUCUUCUUCUCGGAAUCGUCAAGGAACGGACGUCCCGACACACAAGGCGAACCCUUCUUUUUCACGAUGUAUGUACCUAAUUAAAGCAAAUUUACGAACCGAGACUCAUCGUUUCAAAUCCGAGGAAACCCAACGACAUCGCAUCUAGCAUCGGUUUUUCCUUCCUAACGACGAAAAAACCGUGCAUCGCUCACGCGUGUACCGCACUGUUCCGUGUCCUCCGGGCUUCGUCGGGGUUCGAACUAGCAAUGGGCGACGUUGAACAGAAGCUGACGAUGCUAAGAAGAGCAUCGAUCGCAAAAGGAACAUCGAAUUUCCGUAGCCGAUAUUUUCGCAAAAAGCAGCGGCAAAUAUCGAUGGCACAGUUGAAAGAACGUUUUCCAAUUUGUGCUCAGUCCAUUAAAUGUUCGGAGCCAAUUCAGGGUUGCGGAGCCGGUUACUGUGUGGGCUGGCCGAUUACCGUGCCUUUGGUUUUAUUAUUUUCGGGCGUAAUUGACUUUAAGUUAAUCACGAGAUACGAGACGUAUUAAACUGUUUUUUUAAUUUGUGGAAUCGAACGAUAUAAAUGAAUAAACAAUUUUAAUACGUCUUGAUCGAUGAAUGUUAAGUUAAUUAUGCUCGAAAGGGGACCGAAGGGUUCAAUGGCGCGAUCUGAGCGCGAAUUUUAGGGAGAAAUCACUUCUACUUGAACGUUCAAUGGGGUUCCGUUGAAUGUUGGAACCAAUUUAGGGUUGCGGAGCCUGUUACUGUGGACUGACCAAUUACUGUGGGCUGUCCAAUUACUGUGCCUUUGAUUUAUUUUCGGGACAAUCAACUCAAUAUUUAUCGAACGAGACGUAUUAAACUUUUUUAAUUCGGAAAGUAAUAAAAUAAGAGAAUAAAAAUUUUUGAUAUAUUUUAUUCGAUAAAUAUUAAGUUAUUAAUUACGCCCUAAAGUAAAUGAAAGGGUUCAAUAGCGCAAUCCGAGCGCGAAUUAGAAAGAAACGAUACCCUCCCCGCGCGCGCCCGAGCGGAAAUUAAAGCUCGAUGGAAAUGCCUGUGGCGAGGGGGGUAGGGGGGUAGGCACGCUGCCCCGACACACAGCCCCGCAUCGUUUCGUUUUACGAAUAACGCCGACUUUUUCUCCUUCUAGGUAUCAACAACGUCCGUCGAAUCGGAAAGAAGUUCCCGUGUCCGAACUGCCCGAGCGGCUUUGGCCAACAGCCGAGCCUGACCAGGCACUUGAAGUACGAAUGCAUGCAGGAGCCGCGCUUUCAAUGCCCGUACUGUCAUCAACGAAGUAAAAAGACGUCCCACAUUUAUUCGCACAUCCGAAAGAAACACGCGAAUUUCAAUGUGUUCGUCGUCGACAUAUUCGGUCAGCCCGACAAGCUGUAAUGCGCGCGCGCGCGCAAGCCACCGGGCGGACGCUUCGAUUUUCCGGGUGAAGAUGAUCCCUCCUCCGCUUUCGGAUACUACACCGAUUGGUACAGCUACUGCCCGUGGAACGUGAAACCGUAUCAGUGUUUGAACUGUCCGAACAAUUACUCCACGAAAGUCCAUCUGAAACGGCACGUAGUCAGCGCCUGCAACGGGAAGGAGCCGCGUUACAAGUGUCCCUAUUGUCCCUAUAAGUCCCGCUAUCCGUCCGACACGUACAAGCACGUGAAACGGCUCCACGAGCUGCACGACGUGUUCGCGAUCGACGUGGAGAACCAGAGGACCUACUUCCCGAAAGACGCGGCGCCGCUGAUCCCGGACAAGUUGAUAUUUUGAACGAACCGAUGAUUGGCGCAGACGUGCGCGCGCGGCAUGUACAGACAACUUUAGGAAAUUCUGCGACUAAAAGUGUACUUAAAACCGAU
Non-coding RNA from Megalopta genalis, 2506 nucleotides. The record is from RefSeq and is a predicted model, not a curated record. NCBI's taxonomy places the organism in Eukaryota, Metazoa, Arthropoda, Insecta, Hymenoptera, Halictidae.